This 253-nucleotide ribosomal RNA is filed under the name uncultured bacterium. RNAcentral describes it as "partial 16S ribosomal RNA". It matches the Rfam family "Bacterial small subunit ribosomal RNA", at positions 524 to 776 of the family's 1533-position model. The record is from RNAcentral.
UACGUAGGGGGCAAGCGUUGUCCGGAAUCAUUGGGCGUAAAGAGCGUGUAGGCGGUCCGGUAAGUCGGCUGUGAAAGUCCAGGGCUCAACCCUGGGAUGCCGGUCGAUACUGCCGGACUAGAGUUCGGAAGAGGCGAGUGGAAUUCCCGGUGUAGCGGUGAAAUUCGUAGAUAUCGAGAGGAACACCGGUGGCGAAGGCGGCCUUCUGGACAGUGACUGACGCUGAGACGCGAAAGCGUGGGGAGCAAACAGG